GAGUUUGAUCCUGGCUCAGAAGGAACGCUGGCAGCGUGCAUAACACAUGCAAGUCGAACGCGAAAGAAUCCUUCGGGAUUUGGACGAGUGGCGAACGGGUGAGGAACACGUAAGAAUCUACCUUUCGGUUGGGGAUAACUUCUGGAAACGGGAGCUAAUACCCAAUAUGCUGUGGAGUGAAAGAAUUUCGCCGAGAGACGAUCUUGCGUCUGAUUAGCUUGUUGGGGUGGUAAUGGCACACCAAGGCGACGAUCAGUAGCUGGUCUGAGAGGAUGGACAGCCACAUUGGGACUGAGACACGGCCCAAACUCCUACGGGAGGCAGCAGUGGGGAACCUUGCACAAUGGAGGAAACUCUGAUGCAGCGAUGCCGCGUGAGUGAAGAAGGCCUUUGGGUUGUAAAGCUCUUUCGUCGGGGAAGAAAAUGACUGUACCCGAAUAAGAAGGUCCGGCUAACUUCGUGCCAGCAGCCGCGGUAAUACGAAGGGACCUAGCGUAGUUCGGAAUUACUGGGCUUAAAGAGUUCGUAGGUGGUUGAAAAAGUUGGUGGUGAAAUCCCAGAGCUUAACUCUGGAACUGCCAUCAAAACUUUUCAGCUAGAGUAUGAUAGAGGAAAGCAGAAUUUCUAGUGUAGAGGUGAAAUUCGUAGAUAUUAGAAAGAAUACCAAUUGCGAAGGCAGCUUUCUGGAUCAUUACUGACACUGAGGAACGAAAGCAUGGGUAGCGAAGAGGAUUAGAUACCCUCGUAGUCCAUGCCGUAAACGAUGUGUGUUAGACGUUGGAAAUUUAUUUUCAGUGUCGCAGGGAAACCGAUAAACACACCGCCUGGGGAGUACGACCGCAAGGUUAAAACUCAAAUGAAUUGACGGGGACCCGCACAAGUAGUGGAGCAUGUGGUUUAAUUCGAAGAUACGCGCAGAACCUUACCAACACUUGACAUGUUCGUCGCGACUCUAAGAGAUUAGAGUUUUCGGUUCGGCCGGACGAAACACAGGUGCUGCAUGGCUGUCGUCAGCUCGUGUCGUGAGAUGUUGGGUUAAGUCCCGCAACGAGCGCAACCCUCACUUUUAGUUGCCAUCAUUAAGUUGGGCACUCUGAAAGAACUGCCAGUGAUAAGCUGGAGGAAGGUGGGGAUGACGUCAAGUCCUCAUGGCCCUUACGUGUUGGGCUACACACGUGCUACAAUGGCAUCUACAACAGGAAGCAAAACGGCAACGUUAAGCAAAUCCCGAAAAGAUGCCUCAGUUCGGAUUGCACUCUGCAACUCGAGUGCAUGAAGCUGGAAUUACUAGUAAUCGUGGAUCAGCGUGCCACGGUGAAUGCGUUCCCGGGUCUUGUACACACCGCCCGUCACACCAUGGGAGUUGGUUCUACCUUAAGGCAAGGUUUUAAACCCUUGACCACGGUAUAGUCAGCGACUGGGGUGAAGUCGUGGCAAGGUAACC
This 1444-nucleotide ribosomal RNA is filed under the name uncultured marine bacterium. RNAcentral's name for it is "16S ribosomal RNA". It matches the Rfam family "Bacterial small subunit ribosomal RNA". The record is from RNAcentral.